RNAcentral lists this ribosomal RNA (253 nucleotides) under Lineacoelotes sp. ZZ726. RNAcentral describes it as "partial 12S ribosomal RNA". Lineage: Eukaryota; Metazoa; Arthropoda; Arachnida; Araneae; Agelenidae. The record is from RNAcentral.
AUCGAUAAUNCACGUUAAANNUCACUUUAAUAUAAAAUUUAUAUACCGCCAUCCCAAGAAUUAAUUUAAAAUACUUCUCCUAAAAAAAACUAAAAAGUUAGGUCAAGGUGUAAUUAACAUUAAAGAACUUUAUGAGUUACAAUAAAUAAAAUUUAAAGACUAUAAAAACACACUUUAUUCAAAUUAGAAUUUAAAAGUAAUAUUUAAAUAAUAAUAUAAUAUGAUUAAGAUAAUAAAUGUGCACACAUCGCCC